GACGCCCUCCCCCUCUCUCCUUGUUGUAAAGUUAAAUGUUAGCCGGAUUCCACAAUCGCGGUGAUGUCAGGAUGGAGAGAAAGCGGCGGCACGGCGAAUGUCACAGCUGCCACGCUGUUGUCGUGCCGACGUGCUCGUCCCGCCUCGGGAGAUGAGGUGGACCUGUCGGACGUGAAGCCUCGGGACGCAAGGCCACAGAGUUCAAAUGACCUACAGGUGGAUUUAGCAUGCUCGCAGACGAGGAGACGGAAAAUCGGUGUCAGCACACUCCGUCGCUGGGAAUGAGGUCAAGAGCAACAGGAGGGAGUACCUGACAGUUCUCAAAUGAAAUUGUACAGAUGGGACGAAAUAUUGAAUGGUUUCAAUCUAUUCCUGGACCAUGUCAACACACAUCAGAGGAUAAUCGUUCAGGAUUUUUAAUUUCUUUUAUUUAAUAACAAAGCAUCCAAGCCAUCCAGAACCGAACCUCAAAUGGACUUGAAGGAGAUGUUUCCUGUAGCAAUUCGGAGAUAUUUUAGGAGCGUCCCCACUGGGUACCUCUUCACCUCUUCUCAGGUCUUCUUUGCGGUUCCUGGAUCUCGGAUGUAAGGGAUGACCAGGUGCCGAUUUCAGAACCACCACCGGGUAUCGGUAGAG
Molecule: long non-coding RNA, 636 nt
Organism: Syngnathus acus (greater pipefish)
Lineage: Eukaryota; Metazoa; Chordata; Actinopteri; Syngnathiformes; Syngnathidae
Exons: 4
Source: RefSeq, a predicted model, not a curated record